Molecule: ribosomal RNA, 503 nt
Filed under: uncultured bacterium
Lineage: Bacteria
Description: partial 16S ribosomal RNA
Rfam family: Bacterial small subunit ribosomal RNA
Source: RNAcentral
AUUGAACGCUGGCGGCAGGCUUAACACAUGCAAGUCGAGCGGGGUGAUGGUGCUUGCACUAUCACUUAGCGGCGGACGGGUGAGUAAUGCUUAGGAAUCUGCCUAUUAGUGGGGGACAACAUCUCGAAAGGGAUGCUAAUACCGCAUACGUCCUACGGGAGAAAGCAGGGGAUCACUUGUGACCUUGCGCUAAUAGAUGAGCCUAAGUCGGAUUAGCUAGUUGGUGGGGUAAAGGCCUACCAAGGCGACGAUCUGUAGCGGGUCUGAGAGGAUGAUCCGCCACACUGGGACUGAGACACGGCCCAGACUCCUACGGGAGGCAGCAGUGGGGAAUGUUGGACAAUGGGGGGAACCCUGAUCCAGCCAUGCCGCGUGUGUGAAGAAGGCCUUAUGGUUGUAAAGCACUUUAAGCGAGGAGGAGGCUCUUUUGGUUAAUACCAAAGAUGAGUGGACGUUACUCGCAGAAUAAGCACCGGCUAACUCUGUGCCAGCAGCCGCGAAAA